This is an RNA transcript of Solenopsis invicta (red fire ant), 4713 nucleotides long. It is a transcript of the gene named apoptosis-inducing factor 1, mitochondrial, with no coding region annotated. NCBI's taxonomy places the organism in Eukaryota, Metazoa, Arthropoda, Insecta, Hymenoptera, Formicidae. The record is from RefSeq and is a predicted model, not a curated record. The transcript has 13 exons.
AUUUACUCCUCAGUGUAAGGUGUAAGUGCACACUGCAUGCUAGUGAUGCUAGCACCAGACCAGCAUCGCGAAUCACGACGAAGGAGGCUCUAAAUUCACGUGUUUUUCAUGCACCGGCCUCCGGCCGCCGUAAGUAAUCGUCAGUCUGUGACUCGGUGCGACUUUCGGAAAAGGAGGUGAGAAUCCAGGUAAUGGCGUAUCGCGCGGUGAGUAUCCUUCCGGCGAGCGUCUUUCCGGUCCAGAGUAAAAGCGACGGCGGCAGCAGCCAGCGGCUGAUCGCCGCACACGGUAGCAGCUGAGGUGAAACGCGGCUGAACGCGGCGAGCAGGCGAGCGCCCCGCCACCAUAUUGCGUAAGGACAACCGGCCUGGUGAAGAUGUUCGUCUGCGGUAGAAUCGUCGCCCAACUGCCUGCCAGGCUUAUAUACACAAAUCGUCUCUAUCGACCUGUAAAAUAUGUCGGAGCUGUAAAUAUUAGUAACUUACGCCACAGUAGCGAUGCAAGCAAUAAGAAACCACAGGGCACCACUCUCAGGCCAGAGGAAUGUGUGCCAGAAUCUAGAUAUUCCAAAUCACAAAAAGCAGCUCCUGCCUGCGAAUUGGAAGCAAAUUGUCCGGCAUCUCAGGAAUGCAAACCCAAAGAUAAACCACCGAGUGAAAAAAGUUCGGAUUCUGGUAAAAAUGGGAAAUAUCAAUUCCACUAUUGGCACUUACUUGCUGCCUUGAUUGUAACAGGAGUUGUAUACAAGGUAUCUUCGUCAUUUUUGAAAGAUGACAAAACAGAUCAACAGAAAAGUAAAAAAAAGAAAGAUGGGAAAAGGAGAUUUAGAGACAAAGUAAAAGUUCCUGCAGAAUCAAAAUUAAUACCUGAGGCGGUACCUUAUUUAUUGAUAGGUGGAGGAACAGCUGCAUUUUCAGCAUUUAGGUCAAUUAAAUCUAGAGAUCCCAAAGCUAAGGUUUUAGUUAUCGCGCAAGAGGAAGAGUUCCCAUAUAUGAGGCCACCAUUGUCCAAAGAACUUUGGUACAACACAGAUAGGGAAACAACAGCACAAUUACGUUUUAAUCAAUGGAAUGGAACUCAGAGAAGUAUAUUUUACGAGCCACGUGAAUUUUACUCAAGUGUUACUCAGCUUAAUGAAUCUGAUAAGGGUGGAGUUGCCGUAGCCAUGGGUUGGAAAGUAACAAAAAUUGAUGUUAUAAAUAAAAUUGUGACUCUUGAAGAUGGUUAUGAAAUAAAAUACGAUAAAUGUCUUAUUGCGACUGGUGCAUCACCUAAAAAUCUGUCGAUAUUCGAAUCCGCUGAGGAUGACGUAAAGAACAAGGUUACAACGUUCAGAACGAAGGAUGAAUUUCUCGAUUUGGAAGGAAAUGUUUCUAACUCAAAAUGUAAGAAUAUUGUAGUUAUCGGUGGUGGAUUUCUUGGCUCAGAACUCGCCUGCGCACUCGCUAAAAGUUAUAAAUCUAAAAAUGUUUUCCAAAUAUAUAAAGAAAAGUUUAUAAUGGCACAAGUAUUGCCGGAAUACUUGAGUGAGUGGACUACGAAAAAAGCUGAAGCAGAAGGUGUUCGCACUAUGUCUACCACAGAAGUUCAAGAUUAUAAAUAUAAAAAUGGUCGAUUGUCACUUGUCCUCACUGGCGGUCAGACUAUUGAUGCUGAUCAAGUGAUAGUAGCAGUAGGUGCUCAACCAAAUACAGAUCUGGCAACAACUUCCAAUUUAGAGACAGAACCUAAAAUAGGAGGAUUCCUUGUUAAUGCGGAGUUAGAAGCGAGAAGCAAUCUCUGGGUUGCUGGUGAUGCUGCAUGUUUUUACGACAUUAAACUUGGUAGAAGAAGAGUCGAACAUCAUGAUCAUGCAGUUACCUCUGGAAGAUUAGCAGGCGAAAAUAUGACAGGCGCGGGUAAACCUUACUUGCAUCAAUCGAUGUUUUGGUCAGACUUGGGACCUGAUGUAGGAUAUGAAGCGAUAGGUAUUAUAGAUUCGUCUUUGCCAACUAUUGGAGUUUUUGCGAAAGCGGCGGAAGCAACGCCGGUUAAUCUUAGUGAUGAACAAAAGACAAAUUCUGAGAAAUCACAAUCUAAUAAAAAAACGGUGUCACAAAUUGUAAAAAGUGUUGAUAACACGGAACAAGAAAAGAAAGAAAUAUCUAAAGAUAACGUAAAGUCUGAACAACCUACAAAGUGCGAAGAUUUUGGAAAAGGCGUUGUUUUUUAUUUACGAGAUGAUGUUGUAGUAGGAAUAGUGCUGUGGAAUAUCUUCAAUCGAAUGUCGAUUGCCAGACGGGUUCUUGCAGGAAAUACGAAAUAUGAUGAUUUAAAUGAAGUAGCAAAACUAUUUACAAUACAUGAAGAUUGAUUAUUUGAUUAAGAAAUAACAGAGUGAAUGACAAUAUUAAGAGAUUAUUGCACUGUACAUGUAAAAAGAUAUCUGACCUUUGUGUGUGGUGGGAUAUUAUCAUUGGAAAAGCUUCAAGCAAAAGCUCGCACAUCGUUGAAUUUUGCAGCAGCUCUUCCUGGCAGAAUUGCAAAAGUGACACGGAAUAGUACACCAUAUAAUCGGACGGGUACAAAAUACAAAUUGCAAAGAAAUGAACUAUUUCGCUCCAUGGAAGAAUUCCCCAGAAGCAUUGCGUUAACAUUCUAUUGAAUAUCAUCCACCAGUCGAUAUCGAAGACAUCCUUUUUGUGUAAAAAUCGGGACGUUACAACAUACUUUACAGUAUAUUUAGGUAACUAAAUUCUUUAAAUGAUAAAAUUUAAUCACCUUUAAUCCAUAUUUGAUGUUUGGAAGCUCGAUGUUGACCAUGGUUUCUAAAACUUGCAUAAAAGUGAACUGCGAACUGGUGCCUUCGUUAUUUUUUUCAUCGAUAACUUUGCCCAAUUUCGGCCAAAGAAGCAGUGUCGAUGGAAAUUGAACUAAUUGCAUGAUAAAAGUCUUGCAUCUAUAAUCAGUUAUUUAACAUAUAAUAAUUAGCAUAUUAUUCAAUAAUAUACUGUAAGAAUAUACAGUCGUAAAGUUGAUUAGAUAUUGAUAGGCGAUCGGAAUGAUUCUGAGAGAAGUAGAGUCAUGGGGCACGAUUCUUAGCUCUUGAGCGCAAGGAGUGAGAACGAAGGAUCCCGACGUUAAAUUUUAAUUGACUUAAAUUAAUUUUUAAUUUAAGUUAAUUUUUUUGUUGCUUUUACACAAUUAAACAUACUAAUAUUAAAUAUAUACUAAUGUAAAAUAUUAAGGAUUGUAAGGCCGUUAGGAAUUGAUAGGCAAGUAGAAUGGUUCAAAGAGCGAUUUGGAGCGUUUUGGAGUAAUAAUGAGAGUGCUAGUUGUCAAAAUAAAGGAUUCCGAGUUCAAAUCCUGAUCAGCUCUUAAUUUUUCCGUCACUUACAUUAAUGUAAUAGCAUAUCAUAUAUCUGGUCAAUGAUGAGAAAGAAAUAUCGAGACAGGUUGAUGAUAAAAAAAAAACGUUGACCUGGUGAGAACUAAGUUUUCAAUCUGAGACCUGCCAAUGAUGAUAUUUGACUAGCUUGAGUUAAUCACUAUUGAUAACCGUUUAAACUGCUUGUUUAAUCUGUUUUAUUUCUUUGUGGUUUAAAUACCGCGAAUGAGAUAAUGGACAUAUUCAAGCUAACAAAGCAGCUAGUCUGCUCAAGGAGUAAGCUAGCAGUUUUGACUGGCUAGAAUAUGGCUACUGAUAAACAAGUUUAUUAUCUGCCACUAAUAUGUGACCAUAUCGGAAAUUAAAUUGGCUGUCAAGAUUAAUUCGCAGUCAACUGAGGCUCUUAUUUUGUGCUAAAUUAUUUACUUUUUACACUAAUGAAUGAAUUAUUUGAAAUUAAAUAUGUCAAGUUACAUACUUAUCCAAAUUUCCAUCACAGAUAAUGAACACCGUUGCCAAGAACCAAUCAAAACCUUCAAACCUGCUCGGUUUAUUGUACUGUAUAAAUAUGUAGGCAGAAUGAAUGAAUUGUUUCAAACUCUUUUGGCUGUCGCUAGUAUUUUUUAAAAUCUCUCGUUGUUCGGCGUAAUUUAAAACAAUGUUAAUAGCGUGUAUGUCUUCUGGUAGCCAAUAGUCCGUGUCAUACGUUAUGUUCUCCUGCCAUUUAAAUUGCUCCACCCAUUCCGCAGUUGGAAUAGCUUUGUGCAUUUGAUUCAAUAAAUUUGUCAUCAUUGAAUUCUAAGAUAAAAAUAUUUUGUUAAUUUCUAAAUCAUAAUUAUAUUCUAAAUUAUAAUAAAUUAAAAACCCAAAAUAAAUAAAAAUAGGCUAUUAAGGAGUAUAUUCGCAAGUAUAUACUAUAUAAUAUAUCCACAUUAAGUAAAGACAUUUUUAUUAACUUACUUGCGCACUAAUACUCGUGCUAGACUUUUAAUAGCCCGUGUAUUUAUUUUGGUUUUUGAAUAUAAGGGUCAUUAUUUUUGUUUCAUAAUUAAAUAAUUGCAUGUUAAAUUUAUUUUUAUAAAACCACCUUAAUUGGGCCUCGCGAGGCUUUAUGAGCCUCUCUAACUUGCGCAACCCAACUAAUGUCUAGCAGUCCGGGUCUUUCCUCCUGCAACAUAUCACUUAAUUCCGAAUCGUAUUCAAUUUCUCGAAAGUCUAUCAUAUCUGCAUAUAUUCGGGGAGGUGGAAAUUCUGAGAAAAGUUCAUAUUCCUCCAACGGUAACAUAUAUUGUUUCUUUUUAUAUGUCAUGUAAUAUGAUUUUAAUAAAAUAUUAUGUCGCAAGAAA